CAGCAGCCGCGGUAAUACAGAGGUCCCGAGCGUUGUUCGGAUUCACUGGGCGUAAAGGGUGCGUAGGUGGCGAGGUAAGUCGGAUAUGAAAGCUCGGAGCUCAACUCCGAAAUGGCAUUGGAAACUACCUUGCUCGAGGGUUGGAGGGGGGACUGGAAUACUUGGUGUAGCAGUGAAAUGCGUAGAUAUCAAGUGGAACACCAGUGGCGAAGGCGAGUCCCUGGACAACUCCUGACACUGAGGCACGAAAGCUAGGGGAGCAAACAGGAUUAGAUACCCUGGUAGUCCUAGCCGUAAACGGUGCAUGUUUGCUGUAAAAGGAUUCGACCCCUUUUGUGGCGUAGCCAACGCGUUAAACAUGCCGCCUGGGAAGUACGGUCGCAAGAUUAAAACUCAAAGGAAUUGACGGUGUAGCGGUGAAAUGCUUAGAUAUCGUCAAGAACACCGAUAGCGAAGGCAGCUUACUAAGGAGUAACUGACGCUGAGGCACGAAAGUGCGGGGAUCAAACAGGAUUAGAUACCCUGGUAGUCCGCACAGUAAACGAUGAUUACUCGAUGUUGGCGAUACACAGCCAGCGUCUUAGCGAAAGCGAUAAGUAAUCCACCUGGGGAGUACGCCCGCAAGGGUGAAACUUAAAGGAAUUGACG
RNAcentral lists this ribosomal RNA (648 nucleotides) under uncultured Verrucomicrobiota bacterium. RNAcentral describes it as "bacterial SSU rRNA". The stretch from base 1 to 452 matches the Rfam family "Bacterial small subunit ribosomal RNA", at positions 509 to 1533 of the family's 1533-position model. Lineage: Bacteria; Pseudomonadati; Verrucomicrobiota. The record is from RNAcentral.